Molecule: long non-coding RNA, 854 nt
Organism: Wyeomyia smithii (pitcher-plant mosquito)
Lineage: Eukaryota; Metazoa; Arthropoda; Insecta; Diptera; Culicidae
Exons: 3
Source: RefSeq, a predicted model, not a curated record
UGUGGCUCUCUUUGUGCAUUGGUUGGGGCAAUGAUUAUCGGAUGUUAUUUGACAAACCCGGAGUGAUUUGCCAUUAGUGCGCAACUAGCAACAUUGAGGAAUAUCAGUUUGAAAAUUAGCAAUCCGGCCAGUCUUUGACGAUGAUCACCUCACCGUAGACCUCAAGAGCUAUAUCGUCUCCAAUGCCAGUGACCACAACAUGCACAAGGAAUACUAGCUCAACACAUCAAGGCGGUAGUUUUAGAAAAAAGCCGUCAGUUGUAGACGGACAUGUAAGGAUAAAACCUUGUUUCAAAGAUAGAAAAUUGAAACCGUGACGAACUGGACUGCGGAGUUUCAUGAAGUGGUGGACUUUAUAGGCAAAGGGUACGAACUGCAAGGUGACAUACGCAGGGAAGCGAAGGGGAAUCUUCGCAGCCACGUUGUGGUCAACUGGUUGGGAAUAACACCUAACGUAGAAGAGCCAGUGGAAACACUUGAUUACCUAGAGAUCCUUCAGGUUAGUAUCUCAGGUUAGCAUAUUCUCUCAUAUUAUGGCGUGUAUCACUGAAAAACAGAAUUAUUCGGUAGUACCACAGCAAUCCUAUCUUGAUCCAUACAGAAUAGCUAUGACAGAUUAUUCACUAAUAAGUUUUUCUGUAUAAACUUAUGCGAUUGAUCAAAGUUACCCGGUGAUCUGGUUAACGUCAAUACCUUGCUAAGGGUCGGACAUACCAUGAGAUUUUUUUGCCUGUAUGGACUCAUCACUGCGAUCAAAGACAUUUGAUCUAUUGCGAUAUUGCCCAGGUGUUUUCUGCAAUCCGCACUUCAUAUUUUUGGCAGUAUCACUAUUGAAGUAAGUGAUGCGCUCAUCA